RNAcentral lists this ribosomal RNA (463 nucleotides) under uncultured bacterium. RNAcentral describes it as "partial 16S ribosomal RNA". It matches the Rfam family "Bacterial small subunit ribosomal RNA", at positions 338 to 795 of the family's 1533-position model. The record is from RNAcentral.
CCUACGGGAGGCAGCAGUGGGGAAUCUUCCGCAAUGGGCGAAAGCCUGACGGAGCAACGCCGCGUGAUCGAAUGAAGGCCUUCGGGUUGUAAAGAUCUGUUGACAGGGACGAAUAAGCAAUGCGAAUAGUUUUGUGUAUGACGGUACCUGUCGAAUAAGCCACGGCUAACUACGUGCCAGCAGCCGCGGUAAUAGGUAGGUGGCAAGCGUUGUCUGGAUUUGCUGGGUGUAAAGGGCGGGUAGCCGGGCUGAAAAGUCAGAUGUAAAAUCCGGGGCUCAACCCCCGAACUGCAUUUGAAACGGUUGGUCUUGAGUAUCGGAGAGGCAGGCGGAAUUCCUAGUGUAGCGGUGAAAUGCGUAGAUAUUAGGAGGAACACCAGUGGCGAAGGCGGCCUGCUGGACGACAACUGACGGUGAGGCGCGAAAGCGUGGGGAGCAAACAGGAUUAGAUACCCCUGUAGUC